RNAcentral lists this ribosomal RNA (217 nucleotides) under Campeiostachys nutans. RNAcentral describes it as "Elymus nutans partial small subunit ribosomal RNA". The stretch from base 48 to 217 matches the Rfam family "Eukaryotic small subunit ribosomal RNA", at positions 693 to 864 of the family's 1831-position model. Lineage: Eukaryota; Viridiplantae; Streptophyta; Magnoliopsida; Poales; Poaceae. The record is from RNAcentral.
GGGUCCACCCAUUGGUCAGGCUUAAUUGUCUGCACUGGUGAGAUGAGUCUCUACCUUCUGAGGAACUUUCAUGUCAUUAAUUUGGUGUGAUUGGAAAUCAGGACUGUUACUUUGAAAAAAUUAGAGUGUUUAAAGCAAGCUAACGCUUGAAUACAUCAGCAUGGAAUAAUGAAAUAGGACGUUCGAUCCUAUUUUGUUGGUUUCUAGGACCGAGGUA